This 305-nucleotide ribosomal RNA is filed under the name uncultured bacterium. RNAcentral's name for it is "bacterial SSU rRNA". It matches the Rfam family "Bacterial small subunit ribosomal RNA", at positions 335 to 657 of the family's 1533-position model. The record is from RNAcentral.
UGUCCUACGGGAGGCAGCAGUCGGGAAUAUUGCACAAUGGAGGAAACUCUGAUGCAGUGACGCCGCGUGCAGGAAGAAGGUUUUCGGAUUGUAAACUGCUUUAGAUAGGGAAGAUAAAAGACUGUACCUAUAGAAUAAGCUCCGGCUAACUACGUGCCAGCAGCCGCGGUAAUACGUAGGGAGCAAGCGUUAUCCGGAUUUAUUGGGUUUAAAGGGUGCGUAGGCGGAAUGCCAAGUCAGCGGUAAAAUCGCGGGGCUCAACCUCGCUCCGCCGUUGAAACUGGCGUUCUUGAGUGGGCGAGAAG